UCGCGGGUGGAAGUCCCGCCCUGGUAGUCGCCGGAGAGCCAGGUAGCAGGCUCCGGGCGUCGGGAGAGAUCCCGCCGUCUGAGCGGAGCGUCGAGAGCCCGA
This 102-nucleotide small RNA is filed under the name Engelhardtia mirabilis. The record is from RNAcentral. Lineage: Bacteria; Pseudomonadati; Planctomycetota; Planctomycetia.